RNAcentral lists this ribosomal RNA (400 nucleotides) under uncultured bacterium. RNAcentral's name for it is "partial 16S ribosomal RNA". It matches the Rfam family "Bacterial small subunit ribosomal RNA", at positions 361 to 775 of the family's 1533-position model. The record is from RNAcentral.
AUAUUGCACAAUGGGCGAAAGCCUGAUGCAGCAACGCCGCGUGAGGGAUGACGGCNUUNNGGUUGNANACCUCUUUUAGUAGGNNNNNAGCGAAAGUGACGGUACCUGCACAAAGCCACGGCUAACUACGUGCUAGCAGCCGCGGUAAUACGUAGGUGGCAACCGUUGUCCGGAAUUAUUGGGCGUAAAGAGCUCGUAGGCGGGCAGUCGCGUCUGCUGUGAAAACCCGAGGCUCAACCUCGGGCCUGCAGUGGGUACGGGCUGACUAGAGUGCGGUAGGGGAGACUGGAAUUCCUGGUGUAGCGGUGGAAUGCGCAGAUAUCAGGAGGAACACCGAUGGCGAAGGCAGGUCUCUGGGCCGCAACUGACGCUGAGGAGCGAAAGCAUGGGGAGCGAACAG